RNAcentral lists this microRNA precursor (61 nucleotides) under Pristionchus pacificus. Its description in RNAcentral is "mir-8364 microRNA precursor family". It matches the Rfam family "mir-8364 microRNA precursor family". Lineage: Eukaryota; Metazoa; Nematoda; Chromadorea; Rhabditida; Neodiplogasteridae. The record is from Rfam by way of RNAcentral.
UCUUCAUUUUACGUGCUCUCUCACCGGUCAGAGAGACGAGAGAGGGUGAGAAAUGAAGAGA